GAUGAAUGCUGGCGGCGUGCCUAAUACAUGCAAGUCGAGCGAACAGACGAGGAGCUUGCUCCUCUGACGUUAUCGGCGGACGGGUGAGUAACACGUGGAUAACCUACCUAUAAGACUUGGAUAACUUCGGGAAACCGGAGCUAAUACCGGAUAAUAUAUUGAACCGCAUGGUUCAAUAGUGAAAGACGGUUUUGCUGUCACUUAUAGAUGGAUCCGCGCCGCAUUAGCUAGUUGGUAAGGUAACGGCUUACCAAGGCAACGAUGCGUAGCCGACCUGAGAGGGUGAUCGGCCACACUGGAACUGAGACACGGUCCAGACUCCUACGGGAGGCAGCAGUAGGGAAUCUUCCGCAAUGGGCGAAAGCUUGACGGAGCAACGCCGCGUGAGUGAUGAAGGUCUUAGGAUCGUAAAACUCUGUUAUUAGGGAAGAACAAAUGUGUAAGUAACUAUGCACGUCUUGACGGCACCUAAUCAGAAAGCCACGGCUAACUACGUG
This 497-nucleotide ribosomal RNA is filed under the name uncultured bacterium. RNAcentral's name for it is "partial 16S ribosomal RNA". It matches the Rfam family "Bacterial small subunit ribosomal RNA", at positions 28 to 507 of the family's 1533-position model. The record is from RNAcentral.